GAUGAAGAACGCAGCGAAAUGCGAUAAGUAAUGUGAAUUGCAGAAUUCAGUGAAUCAUCGAAUCUUUGAACGCACAUUGCGCCCCCUGGUAUUCCGGGGGGCAUGCCUGUCCGAGCGUCAUUACAACCCUCAAGCUCAGCUUGGUGUUGGGCCCCGUCGCCCCGGCGGGCCCUAAAGUCAGUGGCGGUGCCGUCCGGCUCCGAGCGUAGUAAUUCUUCUCGCUCUGGAGGUCCGGUCGUGUGCUCGCCAGCAACCCCCAACUUUUACAGUUUGACCUGGGAUGAGGUAGGGAUACCCGCUGAACUUAAGCAUAUCAAUAAGCGGAGGA
This 328-nucleotide unclassified non-coding RNA is filed under the name soil metagenome. Its description in RNAcentral is "partial contains 5.8S ribosomal RNA, internal transcribed spacer 2, and large subunit ribosomal RNA". The stretch from base 1 to 120 matches the Rfam family "5.8S ribosomal RNA", at positions 35 to 154 of the family's 154-position model. The record is from RNAcentral.